RNAcentral lists this transfer RNA (75 nucleotides) under Lysobacteraceae bacterium. Its description in RNAcentral is "Xanthomonadaceae bacterium tRNA-Sec". It matches the Rfam family "tRNA". Rfam says of the family: Transfer RNA (tRNA) molecules are approximately 80 nucleotides in length. Their secondary structure includes four short double-helical elements and three loops (D, anti-codon, and T loops). Further hydrogen bonds mediate the characteristic L-shaped molecular structure. tRNAs have two regions of fundamental functional importance: the anti-codon, which is responsible for specific mRNA codon recognition, and the 3' end, to which the tRNAs corresponding amino acid is attached (by aminoacyl-tRNA synthetases). tRNAs cope with the degeneracy of the genetic code in two manners: having more than one tRNA (with a specific anti-codon) for a particular amino acid; and 'wobble' base-pairing, i.e. permitting non-standard base-pairing at the 3rd anti-codon position. Lineage: Bacteria; Pseudomonadati; Pseudomonadota; Gammaproteobacteria; Lysobacterales; Lysobacteraceae. The record is from RNAcentral.
GGACGGUAGCUCAUGCUGGAGAGAGCAGCGGUGUCAAAACCGAAGAUCGCCGGUUCGAUUCCGGUUCGUCCGCCA